UUUAACGAGGACCUAUGAGAGGGCAAGUCUGGUGCCAGCAGCCGCGGUAAUUCCAGCUCUCAAGGUGUAUAUCGCCAUUGCUGCGGUUAAAAAGCUCGUAGUUGGAUCUGCGCCUUCGGACUCGGUCCUCCCAACGGGUGCGAACUGAGCUCCAAGGCUACUACUGCUGGUUUUCCCUUGGUGCUCUUCACUGGGUGUCUUGGGUGGCUAGCGAGUUUACUUUGAAAAAAUUAGAGUGCUCAAAACAGGCUAUUGCCUGAAUACCGGUGCAUGGAAUAAUAGAAUAGGAUCUCGGUCCUAUUUUGUUGGUUUUCGGAACUGAGAUAAUGGUUAAGAGGGACAGACGGGGGCAUUCGUAUCGCUGCGUGAGAGGUGAAAUUCUUGGACCGCAGCGAGACGCCCAACUGCGAAAGCAUUUGCCAAGAAUGUCUUCGUUAAUCAAGAACGAAAGUCAGAGGUUCGAAGGCGAUCAGAUACCGCCCUAGUUCUGACCGUAAACGAUGCCAACUAGCGAUCCGCCGGUGGUAAUUACGCCCCGGCGGGGAGCUUCCCGGAAACGAAAGUCUUCCGGUUCCGGGGGAAGUAUGGUUGCAAAGCUGAAACUUAAAGGAAUUGACGGAAGGGCACCACCAGGAGUGGAGCUUGCGGCUUAAUUUGACACAACACGGGAAAACUCACCCGGCCCGGACACCGUAAGGAUUGACAGAUUGAGAGCUCUUUCUUGAUUCGGUGGUUGGUGGUGCAUGGCCGUUCUUAGUUGGUGGAGCGAUUUGUCUGGUUUAUUCCGAUAACGAACGAGACUCUGGCCUACUAACUAGUGACAGAAUUAUUGCUGUUCUGGUUACUUCUUAGAGGGACAAGUGGUGUUCAGCCACACGAAAUUGAGCAAUAACAGGCCUGUGAUGCCCUUAGAUGUCCGGGGCUGCACGCGUGCUACACUGGAGGAAACAGCAUGCAAAACCAUUGCCGAGAGGCAUUGGUAAACCCGAGAAAAUCUUCCGUGAUCGGGAUCGGGAAUUGCAAUUAUUUCCCUUGAACGAGGAAUUCCCAGUAAGUGUGGGUCAUCAGCUCGCGCUGAUUACGUCCCUGCCCUUUGUACACACCGCCCGUCGCUGCCCGGGACUGAGCCGUUUCGAGAAAAGCGGGGACUGCUGCUGUUGGGGCUUUCGGGCCUUGGCUUCGGUGGAAACCGCUUUAAUCGCAGUGGCUUGAACCGGGCAAAAGUCGUAACAAGGUUUCCGUAGGUGAACCUGCGGAAG
Molecule: ribosomal RNA, 1259 nt
Filed under: metagenome
Description: SSU rRNA
Rfam family: Eukaryotic small subunit ribosomal RNA
Source: RNAcentral